UCCGAUACCAGUUAACCAUUCAUUCAGGCAAUGUUAGGACUUCUACAAAAGUAAGAAACAAGAAAGCAUCGUUUGCAUUAACAUGACCUUAAACCAAAUUAACAUUGUGUAACCAUGAUGUAUUCACCUAAUCAAGUCAAUUCGGCAUGAAAUUCAUACAUUACGGGACACACGUCUUAUCAUGAAUACUCCACAAAGCAAUCAAAAUUAGUAAUUCAUGUGCUAAAACAUGAUUUUUUUUAAUGCUUACAUUAUAACACUUGACGAUAAAGGAGAAAAGAUGGCAACUUUCUUCAUACAGAUUUACACUUCACUUGUUGACAUUUUUGGUCCUUUUCAUUUGGAAGCAAAUAAGCUGCUUUACUCCACAAUCAAUAAGACAUGUAAAAGAGAGAAGUUCAUAUGGACAGUUGCUAUAGCAAUUAGCAUCUAGUUGAUAAAACUGAAUGUAAAGCUGAUGAUGACAAGAUGCAAAUGUUUAUAUUUAUUACCAUGCCCACGGGAACUGGUAUAAACGACAUAAAAAAUAGAAUGAACAGAUUUCAUUAGCAAAGCGACGAAAGUAUCAAGAGAGAUUAUUUUAUUAAAAUCAAAUUAGCCAUCGUAGGAAGAGCUUAGUGAUUGACCUACCUCUUUUCCUCAUCGAAAUUUGUCCCUUAUCUACAGCACCAACUUGAACCCCUCUGACAGGAAAUCAUCUCUUGGAGGAAGGGGAAAAAAAAGUUAAAUAAUUACAAUUCAGGUUCAAUAGAACUGAACUGAUGCAGAGAGAAGAUUUUUUACUUGUCCAAUUUACUUUAAUCAACAAAUUUUACAUCUAUCCAAACAAUUUACAGGUAAGUGCAGAAAAUUACAGCAAAGGGAGUCCCAACGUUAAGCCCCUGUUUGAGACUUUCUUUAGAUUUUGGCAAUAAUGUUUAGUUGAAAAGUUAUGAAUCCCAUAAAAUACGUGAUUAAAACUAAUUGUUGACUUUGAUUUAGAUGAAAAAUUUUAAUUCAUACUAUAAACAAUAGCUAAGCAACCAAAGGUAUAAAAAACAAAUAAAAAAUCAAUCUGCAACAUGAUAUGAAAAGCGAUAUGCUGUUGACUCUAUAAAUAUUGUACAAGUCAACACCAUACAAUACAGAAAUACAUAUACAACAAAUUGACUAGAUAAUGUCAAGUCAUCAACUCUAUAUAGGGCUACUUCACAUAUUCUUCUUGGUUUUCUUUUCCUCUUCUCUUGUACAUGUUUCUUGAC
RNAcentral lists this long non-coding RNA (1241 nucleotides) under Olea europaea (common olive). RNAcentral's name for it is "long non-coding RNA (OEUR_LNC011562)". Lineage: Eukaryota; Viridiplantae; Streptophyta; Magnoliopsida; Lamiales; Oleaceae. The record is from RNAcentral.